Molecule: ribosomal RNA, 253 nt
Filed under: uncultured bacterium
Lineage: Bacteria
Also listed under: 1 other name
Description: partial 16S ribosomal RNA
Rfam family: Bacterial small subunit ribosomal RNA
Source: RNAcentral
UACGGAGGGUGCAAGCGUUAAUCGGAAUUACUGGGCGUAAAGCGCACGUAGGCUGUUGUGUAAGUCAGGGGUGAAAUCCCACGGCUCAACCGUGGAACUGCCUUUGAUACUGCACGACUUGAAUCCGGGAGAGGGUGGCGGAAUUCCAGGUGUAGGAGUGAAAUCCGUAGAUAUCUGGAGGAACACCAGUGGCGAAGGCGGCCACCUGGACCGGUAUUGACGCUGAGGUGCGAAAGCGUGGGGAGCAAACAGG